RNAcentral lists this unclassified non-coding RNA (275 nucleotides) under Venturiaceae sp. RNAcentral's name for it is "partial contains 5.8S ribosomal RNA, internal transcribed spacer 2, and large subunit ribosomal RNA". The stretch from base 1 to 71 matches the Rfam family "5.8S ribosomal RNA", at positions 84 to 154 of the family's 154-position model. Lineage: Eukaryota; Fungi; Ascomycota; Dothideomycetes; Venturiales; Venturiaceae. The record is from RNAcentral.
GUGAAUCAUCGAAUCUUUGAACGCACAUUGCGCCCCCUGGUAUUCCGGGGGGCACACCUGUUCGAGCGCCAUUUCAACCCUCAAGCCCUGCUUGGUGAUGGGCCCCGCCUACUGGGCGGGCCCGAAACUCGUGGGCGUCGUCGUUCGGCUUCAAGCGUAGCAAAACCCUCGCUUGGGCUCCCGGACGGAGACUGCCCGGAACGAAUUUUCUACAAGGUUGGCCUCGGAUCAGGUGGGGAUACCCGCUGAACUUAAGCAUAUCAAUAAGCGGAGGA